This 253-nucleotide ribosomal RNA is filed under the name uncultured bacterium. RNAcentral's name for it is "partial 16S ribosomal RNA". It matches the Rfam family "Bacterial small subunit ribosomal RNA", at positions 524 to 776 of the family's 1533-position model. The record is from RNAcentral.
UACGAAGGGUGCAAACGUUGCUCGGAAUUAUUGGGCGUAAAGCGCACGUAGGCGGCUCUGCAAGUCGGAUGUGAGAUCCCUCGGCUCAACCAAGGAAGUGCAUCCGAAACUGCGGAGCUUGAGUACUUAAGAGGAUCGCGGAAUUCCCGGUGUAGAGGUGAAAUUCGUAGAUAUCGGGAGGAACACCAGUGGCGAAGGCGGCGAUCUGGGAAGAUACUGACGCUGAGGUGCGAAAGCGUGGGGAGCAAACAGG